UUUCCGUAGGUGAACCUGCGGAAGGAUCAUUAAUGAGUUGUCAUGGGGUUCGAUGCUGGCAGCCAAUUUUUGGAUGCAUGUGCUUGCCCUAACAAUCAUCUUCCAAACACCUGUGCACAUUUUUGAGGGAGUCUUGAGUUGGUUGCCGCUCUUGGGUGAUUUUCUCACAUUCCCUUAAAUCAUUAUACGCUAUUAACGAUGUUGAACGUGCUCUGUGUCGCAAGGCUAUUAAUAUAAUACAACUUUUAACAACGGAUCUCUUGGCUCUC
This 269-nucleotide unclassified non-coding RNA is filed under the name plant metagenome. Its description in RNAcentral is "partial contains small subunit ribosomal RNA, internal transcribed spacer 1, and 5.8S ribosomal RNA". The record is from RNAcentral.